Long non-coding RNA from Herpailurus yagouaroundi (jaguarundi), 785 nucleotides. RefSeq lists it as uncharacterized. The record is from RefSeq and is a predicted model, not a curated record. Lineage: Eukaryota; Metazoa; Chordata; Mammalia; Carnivora; Felidae. The transcript is spliced from 2 exons.
CUCAGCCAGAUCUUGAGAGCAUCAUUGUCCGACGAGAGGCCGUUUCCCAAGCACCAGAUCUCAUCUAUCGGAAGCUGCAUAUGGCUCAUUAAAAGGACAGAGUUAGGGAGGGGCAACAGCAGGGCUCUCAGGCCAGAUGCCAUCAUCUCCUCCCUCCCCCUUUUUUUCUUUUUCAGCCCUUCCAAUGUUUUCCUUUCUUAGUUUAGCCUUCUCUCACCCACUCAGUAAAACCUAUAGACCAGUAAUAACUACCACUUAUCAAGCACGCACUCUGUGCCAGGUAGAAUUGUACAUGAUCUCCGAUCCUCAAGACAACCUAGAAAAGCAUUCUAAUCCCAUGGUACAGGUAAGGGAACUGACUCUGGGAGGUUAAGGGGCCUCCCUGAGUGCAGGAGCAGGAGUGGGAAGCCAGGUCUGUCUGGCUCUUACCACUGUGUCACUUAAACUCGGGGCUGUUCACAUGGUACUUAGCACUUUGCAUGGUCUUAGUCCAGCUAAGGGAAGAAGGUUCUUCCCUACCCAACCUUUAUUACAAGGGAAAUGCUGCGUUCCCAUUUAAAGUUCUGAAAUUUGGAAAAGCCCUAUUUCCAUAUCAUUUUUCUUGUUAUCCCCAUAAGCCAAACAACCAAAAUUUAAAUCUAGGGACACCCACAAUAUGCCCCAGCUUCUUACAACCCUGACCAAGAAUGCAGUGACCAAGAGCUUUUUUUCUGCUGGCUCCAGCAUUAGGCUGUCUCACCCUCUACUGUCCGCUAUAACAGUAAACCAUGCCCUGCAUCCAGUAA